GAUGAACGCUGGCGGCGUGCCUAAUACAUGCAAGUCGAGCGAACAGACGAGGAGCUUGCUCCUCUGACGUUAGCGGCGGACGGGUGAGUAACACGUGGAUAACCUACCUAUAAGACUGGGAUAACUUCGGGAAACCGGAGCUAAUACCGGAUAAUAUAUUGAACCGCAUGGUUCAAUAGCGAAAGACGGUUUUGCUGUCACUUAUAGAUGGAUUCGCGCCGCAUUAGCUAGUUGGUAAGGUAACGGCUUACCAAGGCAACGAUGCGUAGCCGACCUGAGAGGGUGAUCGGCCACACUGGAACUGAGACACGGUCCAGACUCCUACGGGAGGCAGCAGUAGGGAAUCUUCCGCAAUGGGCGAAAGCCUGACGGAGCAACGCCGCGUGAGUGAUGAAGGUCUUCGGAUCGUAAAACUCUGUUAUUAGGGAAGAACAAAUGUGUAAGUAACUAUGCACGUCUUGACGGUACCUAAUCAGAAAGCCACGGCUAACUACGUG
RNAcentral lists this ribosomal RNA (497 nucleotides) under uncultured bacterium. Its description in RNAcentral is "partial 16S ribosomal RNA". It matches the Rfam family "Bacterial small subunit ribosomal RNA", at positions 28 to 507 of the family's 1533-position model. The record is from RNAcentral.